Molecule: long non-coding RNA, 1194 nt
Filed under: Helianthus annuus (common sunflower)
Lineage: Eukaryota; Viridiplantae; Streptophyta; Magnoliopsida; Asterales; Asteraceae
Description: hypothetical non coding rna
Source: RNAcentral
UUCAACCAACCUUGGGUCGUACCCCAACCCAAUCGCACAAAUGAAGAUCAAAUAUAUAUAUACCUAAAUAAAGGGUGAUUUGUGGGCACAAGGGGCAGAGGACACACUGACGAGAGAAAGUGUGUGAGACACAAGUGAGAAACCGAGAGAGAGUUUUAGUGUGUUAACCGGAUUUUGUAUGAUCUUGUAACCAAACUCUAUCGGUUUGAAUAUACGGUUGUGUUAAACGGUAUACGUGUCUUGUAUCUCGUGUUCUUGUCGAUUUCUAUCUCGGUUGCACCUCCGGUUGGAUUCCGCACAACCGGGUGUGUUUGUACACAAGGAUUAGGCGACUAGAUCCUCCCCUAGCCGGACCUACAAGUGGUAUAAGAGCCUUGGCUCUUCUCCUUGUUAAAACCGAGUAGUUUUCGGGUGUGUUUCAGAUUUUUGAAGUUCAUAUUUUUCUGAAAAUUAGCCUUAAACCUCAAAAAUUCUGGUAUUUUGCUGAAAGUUCUUAUAAAAACCAUUUCAUUCUUCAUUUUCACAUGAUAAAAAAAACUCAUAAGUUUGCCGGAAAAUUCAAAUUUUCUGGGUUGUUCUUCAUAUAUUCAUCUCAUCUUCAUAGUUGUUUUUGAACAUUAUCCUUGUUUUGAUCUGAUUUGGGUUUGAAUUAUUGUUGUUAUUAAAUAUAAUAUUGAGGUUGGAAGUUGUGUACAAAGCAUUAUGAUGUUUAAUUGGAAACAGUGAAGUGAGCCGAAAGUAGAUGUGAAAAGGAACCUUACUUUGUGUCAGGAGGAUAGAAAGUCAAGAUAUCCAGCUGCUUAAAAUACUCAGUCGCACAAGAUUCAGUUAGUCGCACAAGAUAGUGGGCUCGCACAAGAACUGGGUUUCCAUUUGGACUUCUGAUUAUAUCGGACCUUCAAGUGGGCUUCUAUUUGGGCAUCAAUUAAAUUAUAUUUGGGCUUCUUAUUAGUUGCACAUGAUUUGUAUCAGUCGCACAAGCUUUCUUGCUCACACAAGAUGACUUAGUUACACAACAUAUCCACUCGCACAAGAUCUGAUAGUCGCACAAGAAAACUGGGCUCGCACAACAUAGAUUUGGGCUUCUGUUUGGACUCUCGUUUCAUCGACAUUCAACAUCUGCUUCGACUUUUAAGUUGUUCCGUCGACUUCAAGGAUCUUUGUUUCGUGGGAUUUUGUUUUGUCAAGAUACUU